GACGAACGCCGGCGGCGUGCUUAACACAUGCAAGUCGAACGAUGAAACCUAGCUUGCUAGGUCGAUUAGUGGCGAACGGGUGAGUAACACGAGACUAACCUGCCCCUUUCUCUGGGAUAACGCUCCGAAAGGAGUGCUAAUACCGGAUACUCACAUCGAGGCACAUACCUUGAUGUGGAAAGUUUUUCGGAAAGGGAUGGAGUCGCGGCCUAUCAGCUUGUUGGUGAGGUAACGGCUCACCAAGGCGACGACGGGUAGCCGGCCUGAGAGGGGGACCGGCCACACUGGGACUGAGACACGGCCCAGACUCCUACGGGAGGCAGCAGUGGGGAAUAUUGCACAAUGGGCGCAAGCCUGAUGCAGCGACGCCGCGUGAGGGAUGAAGGUCUUCGGAUUGUAAACCUCUUUCAGUAGGGACGAAGCGAAAGUGACGGUACCUAAAGAAGAAGCACCGGCUAACUACGUGCCAGCAGCCGCCGUAA
RNAcentral lists this ribosomal RNA (482 nucleotides) under uncultured bacterium. RNAcentral describes it as "partial 16S ribosomal RNA". It matches the Rfam family "Bacterial small subunit ribosomal RNA", at positions 28 to 523 of the family's 1533-position model. The record is from RNAcentral.